Long non-coding RNA from Magnolia sinica, 635 nucleotides. RefSeq lists it as uncharacterized. The transcript is spliced from 4 exons. The record is from RefSeq and is a predicted model, not a curated record. Lineage: Eukaryota; Viridiplantae; Streptophyta; Magnoliopsida; Magnoliales; Magnoliaceae.
UCUAACUGCAGUUAAAAGUGCUUGACAAUUAGUUAUGCCCAAUGCUCUUCCAUGGAAUAUCUUCCCUAUACCAGGAUGCAAAUGGUGUAUUUCUUGCUGCUUGUUGCAUGGAUAAUAGGUUUACAGAUUUGACUACAACUAUACGUUGGCUCAUUACUGUCAAAAUUUGCAGAGUUUGAUUUUUGACCUUGCAAAAGAGCGCAUGCAUGGUGGCUGCAUAGAAGGAUGAUGAUGGAGACUGGUAUGAGACAGGCCUGCACAUAUUUUGUAAGCUUAGUGUCUUUGACUGAUUGCAAUAGGGUCAAUGCAAUGACAGUCUGGUUAUGCAUGAGUAGUUCACAUUUCAAGUACUGAAUGGGCUUUCUUGCUGGAACAAAAGAAGAAAUCUAUAUGCUAGUUGAUUUCCUGAAUGUUUUAUUUUUGAGGUAUCAUGUGAUGCUUUGAUUGAAAGGCUUGACUUGUUUUUGUUUGACCCUGUAAUGGUACUGGUGGGCUUGCCUCUCGAUCUGAUAUUACCCAUCAUGGGCUGGGCCAUGUUUUUUUUUUUUUUUUUUUUUUGUGCCUUAUUGUUUUCAGGUUAAAAUAACCAAUCCAAAGAAGCACUAUGUGCGUCCUAACAUAGGCAUUGUUUUACC